GAUGAACGCUGGCGGCGUGCCUAAUACAUGCAAGUCGAGCGAACGGACGAGAAGCUUGCUUCGCGGAUGUGAGCGGCGGACGGGUGAGAAACACGUGGAUAACCUACCUAUAAGACGGGUAUAACUUCGGGAAACCGGCGCUAAUACCGGAUAAGAUUCUGAACCGCAGGGGUGAAAAGUGAAAGACGGUCGUUGGGGCACGUAUAGAGGGAUCCGCGCUGCUUGAGCUGGUUGGUAAGGUAAAGGGUUACCAAGGGAACUAUGCAUAGCCGACCGGGGAGGGGGAUCGCCCACCUGGGAGCGUGGCCGGCCUCCAUGGGCCUGCGGUACGCCCCAGUCGGCAACCUGCCGCAGUGGGCGAAAGCCUUGCGGAGCAGCGCCGCGUGAGUUAUGACGGUCUUCGGUUCGUAAAACUCUGUUAUGAGUUAAGAACAUAUGUGUAAGUAACUGUGCACAUCUUGACGGUACUUAGUCAGAAAGCCACGGCUAACUACGUG
This 497-nucleotide ribosomal RNA is filed under the name uncultured bacterium. Its description in RNAcentral is "partial 16S ribosomal RNA". It matches the Rfam family "Bacterial small subunit ribosomal RNA", at positions 28 to 507 of the family's 1533-position model. The record is from RNAcentral.